This 253-nucleotide ribosomal RNA is filed under the name uncultured bacterium. RNAcentral describes it as "partial 16S ribosomal RNA". It matches the Rfam family "Bacterial small subunit ribosomal RNA", at positions 524 to 776 of the family's 1533-position model. The record is from RNAcentral.
UACGUAGGUGGCGAACGUUGUCCGGAUUUACUGGGCGUAAAGAGCGCGCAGGCGGUCGUCCAAGUCGCGUGUGAAAGCCCCCGGCUCAACUGGGGAGGGUCACGCGAUACUGUUCGACUCGAAGGCAGGAGAGGGUAGUGGAAUUCCCGGUGUAGUUGUGAAAUGCGUAGAUAUGCGGAGGAACACCGAUGGCGAAGGCAAUCCCCUGGGCCUGCACUGACGCUCAUGCACGAAAGCGUGGGGAGCAAACAGG